UACGAAGGGUGCAAGCGUUACUCGGAAUUACUGGGCGUAAAGCGUGCGUAGGUGGUUCGUUAAGUCUGCCGUGAAAGCCCCGGGCUCAACCUGGGAAUGGCGGUGGAUACUGGCGGACUAGAGUGCGGUAGAGGGUGGUGGAAUUCCCGGUGUAGCAGUGAAAUGCGUAGAGAUCGGGAGGAACACCAGUGGCGAAGGCGGCUCACUGGACUGGUACUGACGCUGAUGCGCGAAAGCGUGGGGAGCAAACAGG
RNAcentral lists this ribosomal RNA (253 nucleotides) under uncultured bacterium. RNAcentral's name for it is "partial 16S ribosomal RNA". It matches the Rfam family "Bacterial small subunit ribosomal RNA", at positions 524 to 776 of the family's 1533-position model. The record is from RNAcentral.